ACAAUCACUUGGAAGCGCUCCGACGGGACAUGCGCACCUACAAGUACAGACACAGGCUGAGAAGCCAGAGCUCCGGACCUCGCUUUUGACUUCUUGGAGAACCAGAGACCCUUGGAGAAAAGUCAAGUGACCUCACUGCUUCGUCAAAGAGGGGACCACAGGCUGCCUCACUCCAUGCACGAAGUUCUCUAAUCCUUGAGAAACCGAAGGCUAUCUCUUCGAAGCCAAAAUGCUUUUGAAAGGAUAAAGAACUCUUAAGUGAAGAAGAUGAACAAGAGAGACUGCUACCAGUCAGGGUCCUCCACAUAGCCACCGAGAGAGCAUCCACCAAGAGGAAACCGUUCCAGCCUUUGUAACCCAGGAUCUUACUGCACAUUGCUGGCUUACCCAUUAGAAGCACCAGAAGGUGUCUGACAUACUCUUUGAUUAGAAGGGGAGAGGAUUUGCACCCUGUGAAAACCGAAAUGAGUGAAUGAAAGAAGCUGGUUUGGAAAUGGAUUUCAUUUUUCACCCCAUGAGGUCAAGAUAUUAAAAGAAGAAAGUCUCAGUAUCCUUACAGAACAGCCCCAGAGGAGUCCCAGAGAUGUUUCUGCAUGUCUCCAUAUGUUUCACUGGGAAGGAAAUGGACACAAUCCUCGCCCCCACCAUGCUCACUCUAGUUGUGGUCUAAGGAUGGAGGAGAGUGAGGCACCAGUGUGGGGUGAGGGGUGCGGUGGAAAGGAAGCUGUGGGGCCUUUGGUGGGUACACAGGCCAUUGUCCUGAGAGUUUGUGUUCUCUGUGGUGGGGUGACCCUUUGCAACUUCCAGUAAGAGCCACAGGGUCUCAGCUCCUGCCUGGAGCCACCCUGGACCCUGCUUUAGGGCUUUGCAUUGUGCCUUGUAAUUGCAGAGAGUGGUGGUGUGGAGGCCUUUGGAGUCUGCCUGCGCUAAGUCCCAUUCAGCUCUGUAGUCUUAAACAUCUGCAUUAGCCUCUCUGAAUCUGUUUUCUUGUUUGUAAAAUGGGGGCGGCCAUGACUAUUUUACAGGAUUUAGUAAAGAUUAAAUGAGGUGUCAUGGGAAUAAAGCCCCAGAGCUGAUAGAGUCCACAAAUAUCCAUUUUCCCCUAGUCUUGCUGGUGGUAUGCUCUUGGGUUUGGAGGGAAAGGUUAGAACCACCUACUUCCUCUACGGAGCAACCACAAUCUAUGAUGUGGGCCUGGGUGGACUCAAUUGUGGAAAAGGCAGCCCUUUUUGGCAGUUGCGGUAACUCCAGAUGUCUGGAUUCUAUGGCAGGAGGGAACUCAGGGUCUAUGCUGUGCAACACUCAGGUUGAGCGUGUGGGGGUAAAGGACCCCCAGAGAGCUGAAGUGACUUCCCCAGGGCCCCUCAGCUGAGGAUGGUAGAUCUGGGACCAGAUCCUUUGCCCUCUGUCUCUGUAUUGGCCCAGGGUUCACUUGUCAGGAGAGAAGAGCAUGUGCUUGUGGCACAAUACUUGGCAUGGGGUGCAGUUUGAACCCUCUCCUUACCCCAUAAGGUCUUCUCUAACAUGGAGGCAGUGGUCAAUUUCCAAGCCAGGUACCUCAACCUGCACAUCACACAGCAAGUUCUCCUGCUCUCCUGACACCAAGUUAGGUGGCUCUGAGGGCUAUCCUGGGGUUCCUGUACAAAACUUGAAUGCUUAUUUCUUUGUCACUUGCCCCAGACUAUGAAGGUGGAGUCUGGGCCUUCUUCCUUGUGUGUUUAGAGCCGUCUGUCCACCUUGCCACCUAGCAGGCCUCAGUGACUGAGGGUGAAUCACUAGGUCAAUUGGGUUCAUUCUGUUCUUGCUCCUUCCUGGCAUUGAGGGGGUCCCAGCUUGAGCACCUCCCUUACCCAAGAAGACUCCCUAGUCUUUUGGGGGAGGCAAUAGGAACUCUGAUGGCUUCUGGUCUAACUUAGUAGAGCUUCAUAACUUCUCUAACCUGAUCCCUAUUCUCUCCCCGAAACCUAGAGAAUGACCCAUGUUGAUAAAAGUUGCACUCACCACGACAGAGUUCUCUGUCUCAAAUUACAAGCCAACUCGAAUUCCUCCAGGCUUUGGGUAGCAUCUUCUACUGGGCUGUCUCCCAUGGGCCUCUCCACACUGAUCUCCACUUAGCAUCCAUGCUGUGAGCACCCACUCUGUGCUGUGGCUGGGUCUCUGUGCAGGGAAGGAGAUGGGCUAGCAGCUAAGAGCUGGGUCAGCCUUGGCUUUCCCAGGCCUGGGGGAGGAUCCAUUCCCUGCACUAAGCAGAGCAGGAAGAUUUAGCUGGGCCACUGCCUCUUCCCCUAGGAGGCAGCUAGCAAAGGUUGGGUGACAUGAAUGCACUGCAGUGAUGCCAUAGAAAUGGACAAGGCACACAACUCCAAAAUGAAUUUUGUGCAAGAAAA
Long non-coding RNA from Talpa occidentalis (Iberian mole), 2387 nucleotides. RefSeq lists it as uncharacterized. The transcript is spliced from 4 exons. The record is from RefSeq and is a predicted model, not a curated record. Lineage: Eukaryota; Metazoa; Chordata; Mammalia; Eulipotyphla; Talpidae.